RNAcentral lists this ribosomal RNA (279 nucleotides) under uncultured bacterium. Its description in RNAcentral is "partial 16S ribosomal RNA". It matches the Rfam family "Bacterial small subunit ribosomal RNA", at positions 506 to 784 of the family's 1533-position model. The record is from RNAcentral.
UGCCAGCAGCCGCGGUAAGACAGAGGGUGCAAACGUUGUUCGGAAUUACUGGGCGUAAAGCGCGUGUAGGCUGUUACGCAAGUCGGAUGUGAAAGCCCAGGGCUCAACCCUGGAAGUGCAUUCGAAACUGCGUGACUGGAAUCUCGGAGAGGGUAGCGGAAUUCUGGGUGGAGCGGUGAAAUGCGUAGAUAUCUAUCGGAAUGCCGAAGGAGAAAUCAGGCAGCUGGGCCUGUGCUGACGCUGAGGUACGAAAGCGUGGGGAGCGAACGGGAUUAGAUA